RNAcentral lists this ribosomal RNA (40 nucleotides) under Alternaria alternata. RNAcentral's name for it is "partial 28S ribosomal RNA". RNAcentral also lists the same sequence under 9 other names. Lineage: Eukaryota; Fungi; Ascomycota; Dothideomycetes; Pleosporales; Pleosporaceae. The record is from RNAcentral.
UGACCUCGGAUCAGGUAGGGAUACCCGCUGAACUUAAGCA